GAUGAACGCUGGCGGCGUGCCUAAUACAUGCAAGUCGAGCGAACGGACGAGAAGCUUGCUUCUCUGAUGUUAGCGGCGGACGGGUGAGUAACACGUGGAUAACCUACCUAUAAGACUGGGAUAACUUCGGGAAACCGUAGCUAAUACCGGAUAAUAUUUUGAACCGCAUGGUUCAAAAGUGAAAGACGGUCUAGCUGUCACUUAUAGAUGGAUCCGCGCUGCAUUAGCUAGUUGGUAAGGUAACGGCUUACCAAGGCAACGAUGCAUAGCCGACCUGAGAGGGUGAUCGGCCACACUGGAACUGAGACACGGUCCAGACUCCUACGGGAGGCCGCAGUAGGGAAUCUUCCGCAAAGGGCGAAAGCCUGGCGGAGCAACGCCGCGUGAGUGAUGAAGGUCUUCGGAUCGUAAAACUCUGUUAUUAGGGAAAAACAUAUGUGUAAGUAACUGUGCACAUCUUGACGGUACCUAAUCAAAAAGCCACGGCUAACUACGUG
This 497-nucleotide ribosomal RNA is filed under the name uncultured bacterium. Its description in RNAcentral is "partial 16S ribosomal RNA". It matches the Rfam family "Bacterial small subunit ribosomal RNA", at positions 28 to 507 of the family's 1533-position model. The record is from RNAcentral.